UCGCUGUAGCAAUACAGUGGAAAAUUCAGUGGCGAACGGGUGCGUAACACGUGGGCAAUCUGCCUUAAAGUGUGGGAUAGCUCGGCGAAAGCCGAAUUAAUACCGCAUGUGGCUACUGGAGACAUCUUCGGGACGCUAAAGGUGGCGCAAGCUACCGCUUUUUGAGGAGCCCGCGGCCUAUCAGCUUGUUGGUGAGGUAACGGCUUACCAAGGCGUUGACGGGUAGCUGGUCUGAGAGGACGACCAGCCACACUGGGACUGAGACACGGCCCAGACACCUACGGGUGGCAGCAGUCGAGAAUUUUGACAAUGGGGGAAACCCUGAUCGAGCGACGCCGCGUGGAGGAUGAAGGUCUUCGGGUUGUAAACUCCUGUCAUUUGGGAACAAGGCGUAGGUAUUAACUGUACGUGCGUUGAUAGUACCAGAAGAGGAAGAGACGGCUAACUCUGUGCCAGCAGCCGCGGUAAUACAGAGGUCUCAAGCGUUGUUCGGAUUCAUUGGGCGUAAAGGGUGUGUAGGUGGCGCGCUAAGUCGGGUGUGAAGUUUCGGAGCUUAACUCCGAAACUGCAUUCGAUACUGGCGUGCUUGAGGACUGGAGAGGAGACUGGAAUUCUCGGUGUAGCA
RNAcentral lists this ribosomal RNA (625 nucleotides) under uncultured Verrucomicrobiota bacterium. RNAcentral's name for it is "bacterial SSU rRNA". It matches the Rfam family "Bacterial small subunit ribosomal RNA", at positions 71 to 680 of the family's 1533-position model. The record is from RNAcentral. Lineage: Bacteria; Pseudomonadati; Verrucomicrobiota.